GUGAGGAAUAUUGGUCAAUGGGCGGGAGUCUGAACCAGCCAAGUCGCGUGAAGGAAGAAGGAUCUAUGGUUCGUAAACUUCUUUUGCAGGGGAAUAAAGUGCAGGACGUGUCCUGUUUUGUAUGUACCCUGAGAAUAAGGAUCGGCUAACUCCGUGCCAGCAGCCGCGGUAAUCCGGAGGAUCCGAGCGUUAUCCGGAUUUAUUGGGUUUAAAGGGUGCGUAGGUGGUUUGAUAAGUCAGCGGUGAAAGUUUGCAGCUUAACUGUAAAAAUGCCGUUGAAACUGUCGGACUUGAGUGUAAAUGAGGUAGGCGGAAUGCGUGGUGUAGCGGUGAAAUGCAUAGAUAUCACGCAGAACUCCGAUUGCGAAGGCAGCUUACUAAGCUACAACUGACACUGAAGCACGAAAGCGUGGGGAUCAAACAGGAUUAGAAACCCGGGUAGUCC
This 445-nucleotide ribosomal RNA is filed under the name uncultured bacterium. Its description in RNAcentral is "partial 16S ribosomal RNA". It matches the Rfam family "Bacterial small subunit ribosomal RNA", at positions 354 to 796 of the family's 1533-position model. The record is from RNAcentral.